AACGUCUGUCGCGGAUCUCUCCCAUCCCCUGGAGCGAUCUCCCCGGAACGGCGACCCCUCCCCAGGUCCCCGUUCCCCUGGCCCCGAUGACCUCCCCCUGGUCUUCGGGGCUUUUUA
RNAcentral lists this small RNA (117 nucleotides) under Pseudoxanthomonas sp. OG2. RNAcentral describes it as "sRNA sX13". It matches the Rfam family "Xanthomonadaceae sRNA sX13". Lineage: Bacteria; Pseudomonadati; Pseudomonadota; Gammaproteobacteria; Lysobacterales; Lysobacteraceae. The record is from RNAcentral. RNAcentral also lists the same sequence under 1 other name.